Molecule: ribosomal RNA, 491 nt
Filed under: uncultured bacterium
Lineage: Bacteria
Description: partial 16S ribosomal RNA
Rfam family: Bacterial small subunit ribosomal RNA
Source: RNAcentral
AGUGAACGCUGGCGGUAGGCCUAACACAUGCAAGUCGAACGGCAGCACAGUAAGAGCUUGCUCUUACGGGUGGCGAGUGGCGGACGGGUGAGGAAUACAUCGGAAUCUACUUUUUCGUGGGGGAUAACGUAGGGAAACUUACGCUAAUACCGCAUACGACCUACGGGUGAAAGCAGGGGAUCUUCGGACCUUGCGCGAUUGAAUGAGCCGAUGUCGGAUUAGCUAGUUGGCGGGGUAAAGGCCCACCAAGGCGCCGAUCCGUAGCUGGUCUGAGAGGAUGGAGCCCCACUGCGGAAAUGAGACACGGCCCCGACCCUGAGGGGAGGCAGAGAGGGGUAAUUUUGGCAGAAGGGGGGAAUCUUGAACCAUCCAAGCCGGGGUGGUGAAGAAGCGCCUCGGGUUGUAAAGCCCUUUUGGUGGGAAAAAAAGCCAGCGGGUUAAACCCCGCCUGUUUGGCCGGAACCCAAAAAAAAACCCCCGCUAAAUUCGUG